UACGUAGGGUGCAAGCGUUAAUCGGAAUUACUGGGCGUAAAGCGUGCGCAGGCGGUUGUGCAAGACAGAUGUGAAAUCCCCGGGCUUAACCUGGGAACUGCAUUUGUGACUGCACGGCUAGAGUGUGCCAGAGGGGGGUAGAAUUCCACGUGUAGCAGUGAAAUGCGUAGAUAUGUGGAGGAAUACCGAUGGCGAAGGCAGCCCCCUGGGAUAACACUGACGCUCAUGCACGAAAGCGUGGGGAGCAAACAGG
This 253-nucleotide ribosomal RNA is filed under the name uncultured bacterium. RNAcentral describes it as "partial 16S ribosomal RNA". It matches the Rfam family "Bacterial small subunit ribosomal RNA", at positions 524 to 776 of the family's 1533-position model. The record is from RNAcentral.